AAUCUCCUAUUUUUUGUUUUGCUUUCAAGCAGUCUCCUAUUGCUUUCAUUUACAUACUAUGUGAAAAGUAGCUAAAAAUUGCUGGACUAUAUCAAAUGGUUGGAACAGAUAGCUACUAAACAGGGCUUAUUAUGAUUGUUCAUGUUUUAACUUAAUAAAAGUCCAUGCUGCUAUGUCAACAUUGUACUUAUAAUCUUGGGACAGGUUUGGUUCCUUUUCCCUCCGGAAAAAGGUAUUCCUUCAAGGAUGAUGUGUGCUUGACAACUGAAAAUGUUACACAAAAGUUCAACCUGAUAUCUCAUGCACCCAGGAAAAUAAUGCACUAUGUUUAGUUUGACUUGAAAUCAUACAUUGUUUUGAAGACAUUCAGGGCUAAAACCGGAGAGAUUGUUAAUCUAAUAAAAAAAAUUGUUCAGAAGAGCUGAUGAGAUUCCUCUGGCCUUUGUGGUCACAAUGAAACAUACCGAAGAAAAAAUCAGAUUGGAAUGCAAAGAGACGAUGAUUCAAACAUGGGUGUCUCAAUUCUCACAUCGCCAGCCACAUGUUGAUGAUGCUGAUGGGCAUUUGCAUACCCUUUUUCUAAAUAUUCCUUUAAGGGAAUUAGCAUAGUUUCAAGGUGCUUUAAGUGAAAUCGAAGUUCAGAGGGGGUUACAGUAACAAUGGUAUGCACUUGUUCCAUCUUUUUUGGUGUAUGUUAUUGGUAAAAAAUGGUGGUUGUUGUAACUUGUAAGAGUUGCAUUAUCAUCCCCACCACAUGCCACCCACAUGCAUCUUGUUUUGUGCUCUUCAACUCUUACAUAGAUUCUCUAUUUCUCUCACUUAUCAUGCAAUUGAGCCCACUAGGAAUUGGUUUUGCAAGUUGAAAGAACCUUUUGUCUUAGCUUUGUGUAAAACUUCAAUCGGAAUAGAAAGAGAGAGAGAGAGUGGAUUGGAGUAGGGGGAGGGAGGGGACCAUAUAUUCUAUUGUAGCUGUUGAUUGUUGUUUCUGCCAUCACUGUUUAUAGAUAAUGUGGACCAAGACAACAUUGUAGUGUUAUGUGCCUAAACCACAUCCUAUAUAUGAAAUUUUUUGUUCCUAAAAAUUGUUGGAAUCCCAUUAAGAGGGUGCACAUGUACAUCAAUUUCAACCCACCUCUCAUUGACUUGUUUGAAGAUACCAAUGUGACUGUUGAGUUUUUUUAAUACUUCAGGUGUGAAAACUCGAACCUAUGAUCAUGAGGACAUGAAUUAUUAUCUCGAGUCUUCACUGGUUGUUGUGUUAUCUUCUUUUGGAGACUAAUUGAGAUUGUGUGAAACUGGAAAUCCUGAAAAAAAAGAGAUGAAAAUAGUAUAGAAAUAAAAAGGAAAAGAAUAUAGCAAUACUAAAAUAAUUGUGGAAGGCAAUCUUCUCUUUCACUCUUAAAUUGGUUGUCUCCUAACAAAUGGGCUACCCUAAAUGUUAGUCCUUUUCUUAUUUCUUUGUCUCCCUCCAUCUCUUUCUAUCUAUUGGGUAGUCUAAUUUAGUGUAAUAAGGGUCAAUGUCUAACAACUGUUGAUGAAUAAAUGAGCUCGUGACUGAAAGUUCCUUGUUGAAUAACAACAAUGUUUGGUGAACCCCAUUUGUAUAUAGUAAUGUUUGGGAAUGAAAUUUAUUAAGACGAAGUCUUAUAUUCAAUUUCAUUUAAAAUAUCAUA
Molecule: long non-coding RNA, 1673 nt
Organism: Impatiens glandulifera
Lineage: Eukaryota; Viridiplantae; Streptophyta; Magnoliopsida; Ericales; Balsaminaceae
Exons: 4
Source: RefSeq, a predicted model, not a curated record